This 99-nucleotide small RNA is filed under the name Sinorhizobium meliloti 2011. Its description in RNAcentral is "putative ncRNA". Lineage: Bacteria; Pseudomonadati; Pseudomonadota; Alphaproteobacteria; Hyphomicrobiales; Rhizobiaceae. The record is from RNAcentral.
ACUGCGGGUCAAAACCGAUGCAAAUAUGCCCGAUCUGGUGUCAAAACGACGCUGACCACGCAACCACUUGUGUGUAUCAGAGCGCGCGCCCUUGAAAGU